RNAcentral lists this ribosomal RNA (243 nucleotides) under uncultured bacterium. Its description in RNAcentral is "partial 16S ribosomal RNA". It matches the Rfam family "Bacterial small subunit ribosomal RNA", at positions 92 to 334 of the family's 1533-position model. The record is from RNAcentral.
UGAGUGGCGAACGGGUGAGUAACACGUGAGUAACCUGCCUCUUCUUUGGGAUAACGCCCGGAAACGGGUGCUAAUACUGGAUAUCCACUGGCCUUCGCAUGGGGGUUGGUGGAAAGGUUUGUUCUGGUGGGGGAUGGGCUCGCGGCCUAUCAGCUUGUUGGUGGGGUGAUGGCCUACCAAGGCUUUGACGGGUAGCCGGCCUGAGAGGGUGACCGGUCACAUUGGGACUGAGAUACGGCCCAG